GUCUCUUCGGGGAUGAUUAAACCGGCGCACGGGUGAGUAACACGUGAGUGACCUGCCUUUUAGACUGGAACAACUUACCGAAAGGUGAGCUAAUGCCGGAUGAGUUAUAUAAGUGCAUGUUUAUAUAGGAAAAGUUGGGGAGACCUGACGCUGAAAGAUGGACUCGCGUCCCAUUAGCUAGUUGGUAGGGUAAUGGCCUACCAAGGCGACGAUGGGUAGCCGGCCUGAGAGGGUGGCCGGCCACACUGGGACUGAGACACGGCCCAGACUCCUACGGGAGGCAGCAGUGGGGAAUUUUGCGCAAUGCUCGUAAGAGUGACGCAGCGACGCCGCGUGAAUGACGAAGGCCUUCGGGUCGUAAAGUUCUUUCGACAGGGAAGAAAAUGCCUAUAAGUAACUGUGUAUGUAUUGACGGUACCUGUAUAAGCAGCCCCGGCUAACUCCGUGCCAGCAGCCGCGGUAAUACGGAGGGGGCGAGCGUUGUUCGGAGUGACUGGGCGUAAAGAGCACGUAGGCGGUGUUGUAAGUCAUUAGUCAAAGACUAGAGCUCAACUUUAGUAAGGCUAGUGAUACUAUAAUACUAGAGUAUCAGAGAGGAUUGCAGAAUUCCUGGUGUAGCGGUGAAAUGCGUAGAUAUCAGGAGGAAUACCGUUAGCGAAGGCGGCAAUCUGGCUGGAAACUGACGCUGAGGUGCGAAAGCGUGGGUAGCAAACAGGAUUAGAUACCCUGGUAGUCCACGCUGUAAACGAUGGAUGC
RNAcentral lists this ribosomal RNA (756 nucleotides) under uncultured bacterium. RNAcentral's name for it is "bacterial SSU rRNA". It matches the Rfam family "Bacterial small subunit ribosomal RNA", at positions 74 to 816 of the family's 1533-position model. The record is from RNAcentral.